AUGCUUCACCAUCCAGUGGCUCUAAAUCUCUCAAAUACACCAUCAUUGACAAUUUUGGCUGUAUGCUGGACAGCAAGAGCUGACCCCGGGGCCUCUCAGUUCGUCUCUCGGACAGAUGAGACCCUGAGAUUCUCCCUCAAGGCUUUUCAGUUCACUUCUGACCCUGACACGGAGAUCAAUAUUCACUGCAAAUUAUCAGUUGCACCAGAGGACCCGGGUCCUGCACACAAGUCAUGCACUUACAGAGGGAACAGGUGGAAGGCCCUCACUGGUGACGACUCCAUAUGUAAAUGCUGUGAUUCACAGUGUGUUACCUCUAAAGUCCGUAGGGCCAUGAUGGAAGGCUCUGCCAGCAGUGGGUCUUUGUUGGUCUCGGAUCAGCCGGACGCAGCAGAAGACUUUCUACCAGUCAACAUGAGCAGAGAAGGCGAGGCCACGAUAAAUCCUCACAUGGUUGAGCUGAUACACAGUCAUGAGAAACUUGGGGAAAGUGCGCAUGUAGUAAAGUACGAUAAUGAAGAGGUGCAAGGCAACUUUGAUGAAGAAGAUAAAGAACAACUUGAAGAAGAGGGUCAGCAUGAAGAAGUAGAAAGUGAGUUUAUACUUAGCGUGAUGACAGAACCUGAUUUAGAUGAGUGGGUCUCUGAAGAGGAUGGGACAGGGUAUGUUGUGCAAGUGGAGAGUGGAGAGGAGGAUGGAUUUGAGGGAAGAGAAGAUGAGACCCUUUUGAAUGAGAAGGCUGAAGUGUUGCAUCAUUCAGUGCAGUUGGAGCAAAUGUUCCCUUCAGAGGUGGGCCUGCAGAGAGUGUUGCAGCCCUCUAAAGGCAAGGAAGAGGACGGGAAACAUGCAGGUAGAGGUGAAGAGCAUGACAGGAUGAUCGAGGACGAGUGGAAGAACGAUGACAGUCUGGCAGAUUUAUUAGAUGAUUGAGAUAACCUGGUAUUUCACAUGGAGGUAGCAUUAGUUUAAUAGAUCGAUCAGUACUCUGCUCUAAGACCUAAGACUGUAACUGACAGGAUACUAUGAUUUACUUCAAUAAACAUAAAAAUGCAGUUGAUGGACUCUUGUCAUAACUUGAAACCAGGCUAAGCCACAAUU
This 1098-nucleotide long non-coding RNA is filed under the name Cottoperca gobio. RNAcentral describes it as "lncRNA (ENSCGOG00000003199.1)". Lineage: Eukaryota; Metazoa; Chordata; Actinopteri; Perciformes; Bovichtidae. The record is from RNAcentral.